RNAcentral lists this ribosomal RNA (466 nucleotides) under uncultured Desulfuromonadaceae bacterium. RNAcentral describes it as "bacterial SSU rRNA". It matches the Rfam family "Bacterial small subunit ribosomal RNA", at positions 338 to 795 of the family's 1533-position model. The record is from RNAcentral. Lineage: Bacteria; Pseudomonadati; Thermodesulfobacteriota; Desulfuromonadia; Desulfuromonadales; Desulfuromonadaceae.
CCUACGGGUGGCUGCAGUGGGGAAUUUUGCGCAAUGGGCGAAAGCCUGACGCAGCAACGCCGCGUGAGUGAUGAAGGCCCUCGGGUCGUAAAGCUCUGUCAGAGGGGAAGAAACUUUUGAGGGAGAAUAUCCCUUGAAACUGACGGUACCCUCAAAGGAAGCACCGGCUAACUCCGUGCCAGCAGCCGCGGUAAUACGGAGGGUGCAAGCGUUGUUCGGAAUUAUUGGGCGUAAAGCGCGUGUAGGCGGCUAUUUAAGUCUGAUGUGAAAGCCCGGGGCUCAACCUCGGAAGUGCAUUGGAAACUGGAUAGCUUGAGUACGGGAGAGGGUAGUGGAAUUUCGAGUGUAGGGGUGAAAUCCGUAGAUAUUCGAAGGAACACCGGUGGCGAAGGCGGCUACCUGGACCGAUACUGACGCUGAGACGCGAAAGCGUGGGGAGCAAACAGGAUUAGAUACCCUAGUAGUC